ACCUUGGCACACAGAGGCGAUGAAGGACGUGGUUACCUGCGAUAAGUCUCGGGGAGCUGGAAACACGCUUUGAUCCGGGAAUUUCCGAAUGGGGCAACCCCUAGAACGGCCGCCUGAAUCCAUAGGGCGGUGCGAGCCAACCCAGCGAACUGAAACAUCUUAGUAGCUGGAGGAAAGGAAAGUAAAAACGACUCCCUCAGUAGCGGCGAGCGAACGGGGAAGAGCCUAAACCGAUGGUUUCGACCAUCGGGGUUGUGGGACAGCAACGUGUAUCAGGGAGGUUAGAAGAAGCGUUUGAAUGGCGCGCCACAGAGGGUGAAAGCCCCGUAUUCGAAAACUGAACUGAGCUAGCUGUAUCCCGAGUAGCACGGAGCACGUGAAAUUCCGUGUGAAUCCGCGAGGACCACCUCGUAAGGCUAAGUACUCCUGUGUGACCGAUAGCGCAACAGUACCGCGAGGGAAAGGUGAAAAGAACCCCGGGAGGGGAGUGAAAUAGAACAUGAAACCGUGAGCUUACAAGCAAUGGGAGUCCUACUCAUAGGAUGACCGUGUGCCUGUUGAAGAAUGAGCCGGCGACUUAUAGGCACUGGCAGGUUAAACCGGGAAUGGUGGAGCCAUAGCGAAAGCGAGUCUGAAUAGGGCGAUCGUCAGUGUUUAUAGACCCGAACCCGGGUGAUCUAACCAUGGCCAGGAUGAAGCUUGGGUGAUACCAAGUGGAGGUCCGAACCGACUGAUGUUGAAAAAUCAGCGGAUGAGCUGUGGUUAGGGGUGAAAUGCCAAUCGAACCCGGAGCUAGCUGGUUCUCCCCGAAAUACGUUGAGGCGUAGCGUCUAGUGCUCCAGCAGGGGGGUAAAGCCACCGUUUCGGUGCGGGCUGCGAGAGCGGUACCAAAUCGAGACGAACUCUGAAUACCCUGUGUGUAACUAGGCAGUCAGACUGUGGGGGAUAAGCUCCAUGGUCGAAAGGGAAACAGCCCAGACCGCCAGCUAAGGUCCCCAAAUCAACACUAAGUGAUAAAGGAGGUGGGAUUGCCCAGACAACCAGGAGGUUUGCCUAGAAGCAGCCAUCCUCAAAGGAGUGCGUAAUAGCUCACUGGUCGAGCGAUCCUGCGCCGAAAAUGAACGGGGCUAAGCAUCGUACCGAAGCUGCGGAUUAAACUUGUUUAAUGGUAGGGGAGCGUUCCAUGUGGGGUGAAGCGUUAGCGUAAGCGGGCGUGGACUGCAUGGAAGUGAGAAUGUCGGCUUGAGUAGCGAAAACAUGGGUGAGAAUCCCAUGCCCCGAAACCCUAAGGGUUCCUCCGGCAGGCUCGUCCGCGGAGGGUUAGUCAGGACCUAAGGCGAGGCCGAAAGGCGUAGUCGAUGGACAACAGGUCAACAUUCCUGUACUGGUCAUGUUUUGGGAAGGGGGACGGAGAAGGCUAGCCAAGCCAGAUGUUGGUUACUGGUCCAAGCGUUCGAGGCGUUGAGAGCUGGCGAAAACAGCUUGAGCUGAGGCGUGAGUGCGAGCUGCUACGGCAGCGAAGUUGGUGACGUCAAGCUUCCAAGAAAAGCCCUAUACCCGUUAAGGCAUCAUUGCCUGUACCCGAAACCGACACAGGUGGGGUGGUAGAGAAUACCGAGGGGCGCGAGGUAACUCUCUCUAAGGAACUCGGCAAAAUGACCCCGUAACUUCGGGAGAAGGGGUGCCACCGCAAGGUGGUCGCAGUGAAUAGGCCCAGGCGACUGUUUACCAAAAACACAGGUCUCCGCUAAGUCGCAAGACGAUGUAUGGGGGCUGACGCCUGCCCAGUGCCGGAAGGUUAAAGAAGCUGGUCAGCGCAAGCGAAGCUGGCGACUGAAGCCCCGGUGAACGGCGGCCGUAACUAUAACGGUCCUAAGGUAGCGAAAUUCCUUGUCGGGUAAGUUCCGACCCGCACGAAAGGCGUAACGAUCUGGGCGCUGUCUCGGAGAGAGGCUCGGCGAAAUAGAAUUGUCUGUGAAGAUGCGGACUACGUGCACCCGGACAGAAAGACCCUAUGAAGCUUUACUGUAGCUUGGUAUU
RNAcentral lists this ribosomal RNA (2040 nucleotides) under Burkholderiaceae bacterium. RNAcentral describes it as "partial 23S ribosomal RNA". It matches the Rfam family "Bacterial large subunit ribosomal RNA", at positions 30 to 2118 of the family's 2925-position model. The record is from RNAcentral. Lineage: Bacteria; Pseudomonadati; Pseudomonadota; Betaproteobacteria; Burkholderiales; Burkholderiaceae.